CAUGUACCCCAGUACCCCAGUACACAAGGAAUUUGUUGAAAAGGGAUAGGAAACCAAAAGUGAAAGGAUAUGGAAAGACAAAAUAUAGGUAAGUAAGUCAAAAAAAAAAC
This is a non-coding RNA of Caenorhabditis elegans, 110 nucleotides long. Lineage: Eukaryota; Metazoa; Nematoda; Chromadorea; Rhabditida; Rhabditidae. The record is from Ensembl.